This is an RNA transcript of Phragmites australis (common reed), 2152 nucleotides long. RefSeq lists it as uncharacterized. Lineage: Eukaryota; Viridiplantae; Streptophyta; Magnoliopsida; Poales; Poaceae. The transcript is spliced from 8 exons. The record is from RefSeq and is a predicted model, not a curated record.
CACAGAGGCCAUUUUCCCUACUUUUGGUAAGAUAUGCUUUGUCAGUUGACCAUGUAGAUUUUAGAUUUUGGUCUUGUUUACCUGUGGAAUGAAUGUAACUUGAAUUCCUAUUCUCCUCUGCUCCUCCUUCUGUUCUCGGUGUGAGGUGUGCUCCAUUAUCUAUUACAGCGACGGCAUAACACAAGGAAAUUUGUUGAAGUUUGGUUCUGCUCAUUAGUUCUGGUUCCUUUGUGUUGUGGAUCUUUCUGUUAUUGAGUCUGCAACGAUUCUGACACAGAGUUCAUCUUCUUUGCUUUUGAAAGGCACUGUCGGACAAAGUAAUCUAGAAUAACUACAUGUUUACGGUUGGAGCUUCUUAUAUCUCCCUUUUACAAGCUGUCACGGUUAAAUGCUGCUUGCCAUACGCUUCGUUACUCUGUGAAGUAGUCGACGAUGGAACCGUACUUUGUGGAGUAGAAAUUGAAUUGCCCCUCUUGAGUUUUCAGACCAGCCCACGGCAGCUCUUUUUCUGGUCAUGUGCUGACAUAGGGUGUACAGCCGCUUAUGAGGAGGCUGCUCUUCAGGCUGUCACCUGCCUUCAAAGCAUAUACGGUUUCAUUGUGGUUGAUUACAGUUUUCAGAGGUUAGCUCUUUCAAAUAAUUUACACAGGUGGAGGUGAGGGGAGGGGGGCAAAGAAAGAACAGAAGAAAACCCCAACCCCCCCCUUCCUUUGCUAGGUUGAACAUAGCUCCUGACUCUUUAUAUUUGCCAGGUCUCAGUACAAGUGUUAGGGACGAUGCUUUGUAGUUCUAUAAUCAACAUGACGCACAAUGCCAGCAUUGCUUCAGGCAGCCUAUACCGCUUAAAUUAUUUGUUCAGUUUUCAAUUCAAAUGUCGUUUUGCACAUGAUCGCCUGCUGUGUUGUGAAUAGUUUGCAUUGUUAAACACCACGCUGUUGCUUAAUGGAUGCUACUUAUUUGUUCCUUGCCAUUGAUUUUAGAUGAGGCGAAAAAAUAAAUAAGGAAAAUUAAAUUUUUUUUUUUGCCUAUUCACAUUUCCUUUUCUAUCGCUGUCUUGACUUGGCGCAACCUUUUUUCGCAUUGUCUAUUUCUUUUUCACGCUCUGCUCACGAUUGGUCCCUAUGUAAACCCAUGAUCCUCCUACUGAUAGCUAAUGGAGCCGCAUACAAUUCGAUCAUACAACAACGUUGACGCUGCGGCACCAUCUUCGUCUUCGCACUCCACACAGUCCAGGAGUAGAGCUCGUAGAAAGCGAAAUGAACUUGCAGAAGACGCUGCACAGCACUGCCCCUUAAUUCUAAACCCAACUGAAUGCCGUCGUAGACGCCGAAAAUUAUUGGACCAACAAAGAUUGGCUAUAACAGGAUCAUUAGAUAGCACCAGUCAAUUAUUAGAAUGUGGACGAUUCAGCCAACAUUACAUUGAUGCACUAAAAGAGUUUGAAGAUGACAUUCGAUUCGCUCACCACACUCCAUCCAAAAUCCAAGCACUCAGUAGUUUGUGUCCGUGUAUCGCGCAAAUGGGAAUACCGUGGUGGCACCGAUGAUGGACCGAUACUCCACAUAGACCUUGUUCUCGUCGAUGAGAAGGUUAUGUUAUAUCCCUUCAUUCUUUCCCUACACUGCAUUAUAAUGUUUCUUUCCAUACCUUUUAUCCAUAACUCCCACUGCAUUUGCACACAUACUUUUACAAUAAUCAUCUCAAGAUUUGAACCCUCUAACUUCCAUUAUAAAACACUAGGGAGAUGCCAUAUAUGCUGAAAUACCAAGCUCCGAAAUAGAUGCUAUCAGCACUUUAAUCCAAGAAGGUGGCAUCUAUGUUAUCAGUCGAUUUAGAGUAUCAAGGGUGAAGUCUCUAUACAGGCCAGUUGACGCGCCUUACAUGAUUGAAUUCACAUGCUACACCAAAGUAUCUCCAGCAAGACAUGUAGCUGAAACAUUCCCAAGAUACGUCUAUAAGCUCACACCUUUUGCUGAGCUACCAAAAUACGCUGGUGAAAACAAACACUUCCUAGAUGUGCUUGGACUAAUCUCUGAAGUCUCUGAGACAACCUUACUGCAACUCCCAAACCAAUCAAGUGCCACUCUAAACAGAAACAUAAUCCUGAAGGAUCUGAGGUAAACAAGUUAUCUUCCUACAAUUAUAACUUCCA